UACAGAGGGUGCGAGCGUUAAUCGGAAUUACUGGGCGUAAAGCGUGCGUAGACGGCUAUCUAAGUCGGGUGUGAAGGCCCCGGGCUCAACCUGGGAAUUGCAUUCGAGACUGAAUAGCUAGGGUACGGUAGAGGGAAGUGGAAUUUCCGGUGUAGCGGUGAAAUGCGUAGAUAUCGGAAGGAACAUCAGUGGCGAAAGCGACUUCCUGGACCAGUACCGACGUUCAGGCACGAAAGCGUGGGGAGCAAACAGG
RNAcentral lists this ribosomal RNA (253 nucleotides) under uncultured bacterium. RNAcentral's name for it is "partial 16S ribosomal RNA". It matches the Rfam family "Bacterial small subunit ribosomal RNA", at positions 524 to 776 of the family's 1533-position model. The record is from RNAcentral.